CGGGCUGUAGCUCAGUUGGUAGAGCGCGUGGUUUGGGUCCACGAGGCCCCGGGUUCGAGCCCCGGCAGCCCGA
This 73-nucleotide transfer RNA is filed under the name bacterium. RNAcentral's name for it is "tRNA-Pro". It matches the Rfam family "tRNA". Rfam says of the family: Transfer RNA (tRNA) molecules are approximately 80 nucleotides in length. Their secondary structure includes four short double-helical elements and three loops (D, anti-codon, and T loops). Further hydrogen bonds mediate the characteristic L-shaped molecular structure. tRNAs have two regions of fundamental functional importance: the anti-codon, which is responsible for specific mRNA codon recognition, and the 3' end, to which the tRNAs corresponding amino acid is attached (by aminoacyl-tRNA synthetases). tRNAs cope with the degeneracy of the genetic code in two manners: having more than one tRNA (with a specific anti-codon) for a particular amino acid; and 'wobble' base-pairing, i.e. permitting non-standard base-pairing at the 3rd anti-codon position. The record is from RNAcentral.